This 1325-nucleotide ribosomal RNA is filed under the name Xylaria sp. ARIZ FL1849. RNAcentral's name for it is "eukaryotic LSU rRNA". The stretch from base 738 to 1325 matches the Rfam family "Eukaryotic large subunit ribosomal RNA", at positions 1 to 599 of the family's 3401-position model. RNAcentral also lists the same sequence under 1 other name. The record is from RNAcentral. Lineage: Eukaryota; Fungi; Ascomycota; Sordariomycetes; Xylariales; Xylariaceae.
GGAUCAUUAAAGAGUUUAAUAAAACUCCUAAACCCCUGUGAACUUACUGGUGUUUGGCUCGCCAGAUAUAGUCUGGUCCGUAAGCAAAUCGACUGCCUGCCUGUUACACAGGCAGGUAAGCUUUUGUCGCGGGGUCCCGGAUCAACCCGGGCUAGAUAGCCACUUAACUAUAUACUUUUUAUAAAAUCUGUGAACUUACUAGGUUGGAUUCUCGCCAGAGAUAGUCUGGUUUCUGCUUCGCGGAUCGCCUACCCGUGACACCUGUCACAGGCAGGUAUGCUUCUGCCGCGGGUCCGUAAGUAAAUCAUCUGUUUCGCAAGGGACGGCGAUUUACCUGUGGAAGAGGUCCGCUAACUAUAUUCUUAGUAUAGUUUGUUCACUAGAUCAAACAUUCUGAAUAAAAACUUAAACUAGUUAAAACUUUCAACAACGGAUCUCUUGGUUCUGGCAUCGAUGAAGAACGCAGCGAAAUGCGAUAAGUAAUGUGAAUUGCAGAAUUCAGUGAAUCAUCGAAUCUUUGAACGCACAUUGCGCCCAUUAGUAUUCUAGUGGGCAUGCCUGUUCGAGCGUCAUUUCAACCCUUAAGCCCCUGUUGCUUAGCGUUGGGAGCCUACAGCCUGCUGUAGCUCCUUAAAGGUAGUGGCGGAGUCGGUUCACACUCUAGACGUAGUAAAAUCUUUAUCUCGCCUAUGGAUGAGCCGGCGCCUUGCCGUAAAACCCCUAAUCUUUCACAAGGUUGACCUCGGAUCAGGUAGGAAUACCCGCUGAACUUAAGCAUAUCAAUAAGCGGAGGAAAAGAAACCAACAGGGAUUGCCCUAGUAACGGCGAGUGAAGCGGCAACAGCUCAAAUUUGAAAUCUGGCCUUCGGGUCCGAGUUGUAAUUUGCAGAGGAUGCUUUGGGCGCGGUGCCUUCCGAGUUCCCUGGAACGGGACGCCUUAGAGGGUGAGAGCCCCGUACGGUUGGACACCAAGCCUCUGUAAAGCUCCUUCGACGAGUCGAGUAGUUUGGGAAUGCUGCUCUAAAUGGGAGGUAAAUUUCUUCUAAAGCUAAAUAUUGGCCAGAGACCGAUAGCGCACAAGUAGAGUGAUCGAAAGAUGAAAAGCACUUUGAAAAGAGGGUUAAAUAGCACGUGAAAUUGUUGAAAGGGAAGCGUUUGCGACCAGACCUUUUCCCAGCGGAUCAUCCGGUGUUCUCACCGGUGCACUUCGCUGGGUUGAGGCCAGCAUCGGUUUCCGCAGGGGGAUAAAAGCCUGGGGAACGUAGCUCCCUCGGGAGUGUUAUAGCCCCUCGCAUAAUACCCUUGCGGGGACCGAGGACCGCGCU